RNAcentral lists this ribosomal RNA (400 nucleotides) under uncultured bacterium. RNAcentral describes it as "bacterial SSU rRNA". It matches the Rfam family "Bacterial small subunit ribosomal RNA", at positions 356 to 773 of the family's 1533-position model. The record is from RNAcentral.
GGGGAAUAUUGGACAAUGGGCGAAAGCCUGAUCCAGCCAUGCCGCGUGAGUGAUGAAGGCCCUAGGGUUGUAAAGCUCUUUCAGUGGGGAAGAUAAUGACGGUACCCACAGAAGAAGCCCCGGCUAACUUCGUGCCAGCAGCCGCGGUAAUACGAAGGGGGCUAGCGUUGUUCGGAAUUACUGGGCGUAAAGCGCGCGUAGGCGGACUUUUAAGUCAGGGGUGAAAUCCCGGGGCUCAACCCCGGAACAGCCUUUGAUACUGGAGGUCUAGAGGCCGAGAGAGGUGAGUGGAAUUCCGAGUGUAGAGGUGAAAUUCGUAGAUAUUCGGAGGAACACCAGUGGCGAAGGCGGCUCACUGGCUCGGGACUGACGCUGAGGUGCGAAAGCGUGGGGAGCAAAC